GAACUUUUUAGCACACAGGACACAGUAGACAAGAAAGCAAAUAAACCUACUGCUCAUCUCUGCAAGGUCUGGACAGUUGUGAAGCUCCACUCACUGUCAGGUUCCAUCAAACCCAACCAAUGUUUAUGAAGAGAAAUGUCAUAUUAUACAUACAAACUGUUUUUUGUUUGUUUGUUUGUUUGUUUGUUUGUUUUUUUCCAGUGACUCAAAGACCACACAAUAUAAACCCAUUGAUCGAGUUCUCAAUUUAUCUUAAGUGGUCUACAUGCAUUUCAUUGGCCGGGAUAGGAAGAAGUGGAUUGUGAUGGAGUUCAGG
Molecule: long non-coding RNA, 316 nt
Filed under: Anas platyrhynchos platyrhynchos (common mallard)
Lineage: Eukaryota; Metazoa; Chordata; Aves; Anseriformes; Anatidae
Description: lncRNA (ENSAPLG00000023950.1)
Source: RNAcentral